GUCUUCCUUAGUACGAGAGGACCGGGAAGAGGGAACCUCCAGUGUACGGGUUAUCCUGCCAAGGGUAAACGCCCGGUAGCUGUGUUCCAAGCGGAUAAGCGCUGAAAGCAUAUAAGUGCGAAGCCCACCACAAGAUGAGAUCUCUCAUAGCACAAGCUAGUAAGUCCCCUCGCAGAUCACGAGGUUGAUAGGAUGCAGAUAGAAGUUUGGCAACAAAUGCAGUCGAGCAUUACUAAUCGGACGAGGGCUUUUCCUG
RNAcentral lists this ribosomal RNA (256 nucleotides) under bacterium. RNAcentral's name for it is "partial 23S ribosomal RNA". It matches the Rfam family "Bacterial large subunit ribosomal RNA", at positions 2671 to 2925 of the family's 2925-position model. The record is from RNAcentral.